RNAcentral lists this ribosomal RNA (480 nucleotides) under uncultured bacterium. Its description in RNAcentral is "bacterial SSU rRNA". It matches the Rfam family "Bacterial small subunit ribosomal RNA", at positions 28 to 507 of the family's 1533-position model. The record is from RNAcentral.
GACGAACGCUGGCGGCGUGCUUAACACAUGCAAGUCGAACGAGAAUCACCGGAAAGAGGAUUCGUCCAAUGGAAGGUGAGGAAAGUGGCGGACGGGUGAGUAACGCGUGAGGAACCUGCCUUGGAGAGGGGGACAACAGCUGGAAACGGCUGCUAAUACCGCAUAACAUAUCUGAAUCGCAUGGUUUGGAUAUCAAAGAUUUAUCGCUCUGAGAUGGCCUCGCGUCUGAUUAGCUGGUUGGCGGGGUAACGGCCCACCAAGGCGACGAUCAGUAGCCGGACUGAGAGGUUGAACGGCCACAUUGGGACUGAGACACGGCCCAGACUCCUACGGGAGGCAGCAGUGGGGAAUAUUGCACAAUGGGGGAAACCCUGAUGCAGCGACGCCGCGUGGAGGAAGAAGGUCUUCGGAUUGUAAACUCCUGUCGUUGGGGACGAGUAAUGACGGUACCCAACAAGAAAGCCAACGGCUAACUACGUG